AGGAGUUUGGAUCCUGGCUCAGAAUCAACGCUGGCGGCGUGCCUAACACAUGCAAGUCGAACGCGAAAGCCCCGCAAGGGGUAAGUAGAGUGGCAAACGGGUGAGUAACACGUGGGUGACCUGCCUUCGAGUGGGGGAUAACGUCCCGAAAGGGACGCUAAUACCGCAUGAUAUCCUGCCUUUGGAAAGGUGGAGAUCAAAGCUGGGGAUCGCAAGACCUGGCGCUUGAAGAGGGGCCCGCGCCUGAUUAGCUAGUUGGUGGGGUAAUGGCUCACCAAGGCUACGAUCAGUAUCCGGCCUGAGAGGGCGGACGGACACACUGGGACUGAGACACGGCCCAGACUCCUACGGGAGGCAGCAGUGGGGAAUUGUUCGCAAUGGGCGCAAGCCUGACGACGCAACGCCGCGUGGAGGACGAAGAUCUUCGGGUCGUAAACUCCUGUCGAGCGGGAAGAAGACUCCGCGGUUGAAUAGACCGCGGAAUUGACGGUACCGCUAAAGGAAGCCCCGGCUAACUCCGUGCCAGCAGCCGCGGUAAUACGGGGGGGGCAAGCGUUGUUCGGAAUUACUGGGCGUAAAGGGCUCGUAGGCGGCCAACUAAGUCAGAUGUGAAAUCCCCAGGCUUAACCUGGGAACUGCAUCUGAUACUGGAUGGCUUGAAUCCGGGAGAGGGAUGCCAGAAUUCCAGGUGUAGCGGUGAAAUGCGUAGAUAUCUGGAGGAAUACCGGUG
RNAcentral lists this ribosomal RNA (730 nucleotides) under uncultured bacterium. RNAcentral describes it as "bacterial SSU rRNA". It matches the Rfam family "Bacterial small subunit ribosomal RNA", at positions 1 to 714 of the family's 1533-position model. The record is from RNAcentral.